This 666-nucleotide ribosomal RNA is filed under the name uncultured cyanobacterium. RNAcentral describes it as "bacterial SSU rRNA". It matches the Rfam family "Bacterial small subunit ribosomal RNA", at positions 376 to 1056 of the family's 1533-position model. Lineage: Bacteria; Bacillati; Cyanobacteriota. The record is from RNAcentral.
CGAAAGCCUGACGGAGCAACGCCGCGUGAGGGAUGAAGGCCUCUGGGCUGUAAACCUCUUUUAUCAAGGAAGAAGAUCUGACGGUACUUGAUGAAUAAGCCACGGCUAAUUCCGUGCCAGCAGCCGCGGUAAUACGGGAGUGGCAAGCGUUAUCCGGAAUUAUUGGGCGUAAAGCGUCCGCAGGCGGCCUUGAAAGUCUGUCGUUAAAGCGUGGAGCUUAACUCCAUUUCGGCGAUGGAAACUACAAGGCUAGAGUGUGGUAGGGGCAGAGGGAAUUCCCGGUGUAGCGGUGAAAUGCGUAGAUAUCGGGAAGAACACCAGUGGCGAAGGCGCUCUGCUGGGCCAUAACUGACGCUCAUGGACGAAAGCCAGGGGAGCGAAAGGGAUUAGAUACCCCUGUAGUCCUGGCCGUAAACGAUGAACACUAGGUGUCGGGGGAAUCGACCCCCUCGGUGUCGUAGCUAACGCGUUAAGUGUUCCGCCUGGGGAGUACGCACGCAAGUGUGAAACUCAAAGGAAUUGACCGGGGCCCGCACAAGCGGUGGAGUAUGUGGUUUAAUUCGAUGCAACGCGAAGAACCUUACCAGGGUUUGACAUCCUGCGAAUACCUUGGAAACGAGGGAGUGCCUUCGGGAGCGCAGUGACAGGUGGUGCAUGGCUUCUUAC